Molecule: ribosomal RNA, 490 nt
Filed under: uncultured bacterium
Lineage: Bacteria
Description: partial 16S ribosomal RNA
Rfam family: Bacterial small subunit ribosomal RNA
Source: RNAcentral
AUUGAACGCUGGCGGCAGGCCUAACACAUGCAAGUCGAACGGUAACAGGAAGAAGCUUGCUUCUUUGCUGACGAGUGGCGGACGGGUGAGUAAUGUCUGGGAAACUGCCUGAUGGAGGGGGAUAACUACUGGAAACGGUAGCUAAUACCGCAUAACGUCGCAAGACCAAAGAGGGGGACCUUCGGGCCUCUUGCCAUCGGAUGUGCCCAGAUGGGAUUAGCUAGUAGGUGGGGUAACGGCUCACCUAGGCGACGAUCCCUAGCUGGUCUGAGAGGAUGACCAGCCACACUGGAACUGAGACACGGUCCAGACUCCUACGGGAGGCAGCCGUGGGGAAUAUUGCACAAUGGGCGCAAGCCUGAUGCAGCCAUGCCGCGUGUAUGAAGAAGGCCUUCGGGUUGUAAAGUACUUUCAGCGGGGAGGAAGGGAGUAAAGUUAAUACCUUUACUCAUUGACGUUACCCGCAGAAGAAGCACCGGCUAACUCCGUG